UACGAAGGGGGCUAGCGUUGCUCGGAAUUACUGGGCGUAAAGGGCGCGUAGGCGGACAGUUUAGUCAGGGGUGAAAGCCCAGGGCUCAACCUUGGAAUUGCCUUUGAUACUGACUGUCUUGAGUUCGGGAGAGGUGAGUGGAAUGCCGAGUGUAGAGGUGAAAUUCGUAGAUAUUCGGCGGAACACCAGUGGCGAAGGCGACUCACUGGCCCGAUACUGACGCUGAGGCGCGAAAGCGUGGGGAGCAAACAGG
Molecule: ribosomal RNA, 253 nt
Filed under: uncultured bacterium
Lineage: Bacteria
Description: partial 16S ribosomal RNA
Rfam family: Bacterial small subunit ribosomal RNA
Source: RNAcentral